RNAcentral lists this ribosomal RNA (278 nucleotides) under uncultured archaeon. RNAcentral describes it as "partial 16S ribosomal RNA". It matches the Rfam family "Archaeal small subunit ribosomal RNA", at positions 87 to 349 of the family's 1478-position model. The record is from RNAcentral.
GGCUCAGUAACAAGUAGUCAAUCUGCCCUAAGGACGGGUAUACCCUCGGGAAACUGAGGUUAAACCCCGAUGCCCCGCCCAUGCUGGAAUGCUUGGCGGGGAAAAUGCGCGGCGAAUCGGAGCCGUUGCGCCUUAGGAUGAGACUGCUCCUGAUUAGGUAGUUGGUGAGGUAACGGCUCACCAAGCCGAUAAUCAGUAGGGGCAAUGGGAGUUGGCGCCCCGAGAAGGGCACUGAGACAAGGGCCCUAGUCCUACGGGAUGCAGCAGGCGCCAAACCU